AGAUAAAAAAACAAAAGGGUUCUCUUUCCUUUGCUCUUACCACAGUUUUCAAAUUCGAGAAUUACAUUUGCAUAUAUUUGAUCAUAUAUUUAGGUGUGUUUUGUUUGUUACAUUGGCUAUUAUACACGUGGGUAUGUCCGGUAAAGAGAAAGUCUUGUAGGGAGAAAGAAAAGGAAAAACAAAGGGAGAUUCUUCUCUCCUCCCUUGUGCAGUUCUAGACAGGGUGAUGUUCAAAACACUGUCUUUCCAGCAAAACCCAGUUGCUCCAUCCUACGUUCUUGCCUUAUUAUUCCUUUAAUUAAGAUGUCCCCAUCUUGAGGUACUUCUCUCUCUCUCUGUGUUUCCUGAAAAUUAAGGGGUUUAUUUGUAUUAUAUGUAUAUGUAUAUGUAUGUAUUUUGGCUGAGGUAUUGACAGUAAAGCAGUCUGAGUAGUCUAAUUUAUGUCUCCUCUUUCUUAAAAUUAUUCUUUACUGCCUGCCUACAUUCCCCAUUUUGUCUCUAAAUAAAAGGGGAACCCUUUCCCAUUUACUAAACUUAAAUUUAUUGGGUUGUGCAGAAAUACUGCAUAAGAAAAAUUCCAUACCCAGAUCAAAUUGAGCUUUGACAAGCAUAUUUAAAGCCAGUUGUGAGAUGGGUUUUGAGAUUUAUGUAUGAUUAGUGGAGGUAUGUGGUUGUUAAGACUCUCUAAUUUCUCGUCUUUGAGUUCUCUUUCUGCUGUUUGUAGAAAUGACACCCUUCUGUUUGUGAAUAACUAGUGAGAGAAAUAGGAGAGCGAAAUCACCCGUCUUUGUG
This 792-nucleotide long non-coding RNA is filed under the name Panax ginseng (ginseng). RNAcentral describes it as "long non-coding RNA (PGIN_LNC010100)". Lineage: Eukaryota; Viridiplantae; Streptophyta; Magnoliopsida; Apiales; Araliaceae. The record is from RNAcentral.